CAGAAGUGCGAAUGCUGACAUAAGUAACGAUAAAGCGGGUGAAAAGCCCGCUCGCCGGAAGACCAAGGGUUCCUGUCCAACGUUAAUCGGGGCAGGGUGAGUCGACCCCUAAGGCGAGGCCGAAAGGCGUAGUCGAUGGGAAACAGGUUAAUAUUCCUGUACUUGGUGUUACUGCGAAGGGGGGACGGAGAAGGCUAUGUUGGCCGGGCGACGGUUGUCCCGGUUUAAGCGUGUAGGCUGGUUUUCCAGGCAAAUCCGGAAAAUCAAGGCUGAGGCGUGAUGACGAGGCACUACGGUGCUGAAGCAACAAAUGCCC
Molecule: ribosomal RNA, 316 nt
Filed under: Escherichia coli 7-233-03_S3_C2
Lineage: Bacteria; Pseudomonadati; Pseudomonadota; Gammaproteobacteria; Enterobacterales; Enterobacteriaceae
Description: partial 16S ribosomal RNA
Rfam family: Bacterial large subunit ribosomal RNA
Source: RNAcentral